RNAcentral lists this ribosomal RNA (461 nucleotides) under uncultured bacterium. Its description in RNAcentral is "bacterial SSU rRNA". It matches the Rfam family "Bacterial small subunit ribosomal RNA", at positions 917 to 1382 of the family's 1533-position model. The record is from RNAcentral.
GGGCCCGCACAAGCAGUGGAGUAUGUGGUUUAAUUCGAAGCAACGCGAAGAACCUUACCAGGGCUUGACAUCCCUUGACGACGGCAGAGAUGCCGUUUCCCUUCGGGGCAAGGAGACAGGUGGUGCAUGGUUGUCGUCAGCUCGUGUCGUGAGAUGUUGGGUUAAGUCCCGCAACGAGCGCAACCCCUACUGCCAGUUGCCAGCAUUCAGUUGGGCACUCUGGCGGGACUGCCGUUGACAAAACGGAGGAAGGUGGGGAUGAUGUCAAAUCAUCAUGCCCCUUAUGUCCUGGGCUACACACGUACUACAAUGGCCGCAACAGAGGGCAGCGACGUCGCGAGGCGAAGCGAAUCCCAAAAAGCGGUCUCAGUUCGGAUUGCAGGCUGAAACCCGCCUGCAUGAAGUCGGAAUUGCUAGUAAUGGCAGGUCAGCAUACUGCCGUGAAUACGUUCCCGGGCCUU